AUUAAAUGCAUUUUUUUCUCUCUCGUGGAUCGACACAUCAGCCACUCUUAUCACAUCCUAUCUCAAGACUUCAUAUCAGCAAUCCCCAUACCUCCCAAAACCAGCGGCUAACCCUAAUUUUCCUCAUCAUCACUCUCUCUAAAACCCUAAAUUCAUUCCACUUUCCCUCAACCUUUCAUCAUCAUGCCUCCACGAACCAUUCCAGCUAGAGAAAAG
Molecule: long non-coding RNA, 216 nt
Filed under: Lathyrus oleraceus (garden pea)
Lineage: Eukaryota; Viridiplantae; Streptophyta; Magnoliopsida; Fabales; Fabaceae
Description: Pisum sativum (pea) long non-coding RNA (PSAT_LNC027350)
Source: RNAcentral